RNAcentral lists this ribosomal RNA (262 nucleotides) under uncultured bacterium. Its description in RNAcentral is "partial 16S ribosomal RNA". It matches the Rfam family "Bacterial small subunit ribosomal RNA", at positions 335 to 588 of the family's 1533-position model. The record is from RNAcentral.
UGGCCUACGGGGGGCAGCAGUAGGGAAUCUUCCACAAUGGACGAAAGUCUGAUGGAGCAACGCCGCGUGAGUGAAGAAGGGUUUCGGCUCGUAAAGCUCUGUUGGUAGUGAAGAAAGAUAGAGGUAGUAACUGGCCUUUAUUUGACGGUAAUUACUUAGAAAGUCACGGCUAACUACGUGCCAGCAGCCGCGGUCAUACGUAGGAUCCGAGCAUUAUCCGGAGUGACUGGGUGUAAAGAGUUGCGUAGGUGGCAGAAUAAGU